Molecule: long non-coding RNA, 2842 nt
Organism: Cavia porcellus (domestic guinea pig)
Lineage: Eukaryota; Metazoa; Chordata; Mammalia; Rodentia; Caviidae
Exons: 3
Source: RefSeq, a predicted model, not a curated record
CUUUUUUUCCUUCCUCCUCUCCCCCUCCCUCCUAUCUCCCUCCCUCUCUCCGCCCUCAGCCCUGCCCAGCCCAGGAGGCAGGCAGGAGGCAGCCCUUGCUCUAAUAGGCUUUGGGAAAUUCCUCCAAGCUGGCCCCACUCAGGGGGCCAAAGAAAUCCAGGUGUCCUGCCCAGUGUACAAAGCUCAGCGGGAUGCCCAGGCAGAGCCGGGCUCUCCAAAGGGAGAACGUGGGGACUGGCCUUGAUGAGUGGACGCUGUCUUCCUUAGAGCACUGGAAUGCUCUCACCCGGAGAUUUCAGAGGGCAGCUCUGUGCCCUCUUCAAGGCAGACUCCUGGGAACAAAGCUGUGGCAUCUCUCCAGCUAGGCUCUUCUUCAAGCCACAGGACUAAGAUCUGAGGCUGAAGAUCCAAAGAGGACUCAAGGAAGGCAGCAAAAGAGAGCAGUCCCCAGGCAGAGACUAGCAUGGCUGAGCACUGGAAGAGAGUCAAGAGCAUAGUUUUCAGGACCUGCAUCCCAGGUGUGAUCCAAGGGCCAGGUUCAGAUCCACACAGCUGAGGAUUAAUGGAGUUCUACUGCGCCUGUGCGUGACAGUCCUCAUGGACUUACUAAAAUAUCUAACAGAUGUUUGCUUAGCUCAGGUAACUGCUAAACCCUGUUCUUGGUCCUGGGAAGUUGGGCAAGAGUCACACAGACAGCUUCAUGUCUUUUCAAAGCCUCCAUUCUCCUAUGGGUUCUCAGGGUCUCUGUGUGAAUGUGAGUGUGUGUGUGUGUGUGUGUGUGUGUGUGUGUGUGUGUGUGUGCCAACAGAGCCCACCUUGCUUUGGAGCAGCCAGGAAGUGGGGGAUCCAGGAGUACUAGGUUGGGUAAAGCACUUUUGCCCAGGCAAAUUAUGCACACAUCAGUCAGGAUGAUAAUAGUCUCCUCAGAGUGACACUUACGCCAUCCCAGCAUCCUGAGUCCCCCUAUCCUUUACCAGCCUGGCCUCUGCCCUAAUGCCAACAUGAUAGCUCCCAUCCUAUGGACAAAGGCGUAAACAUCAGGAGGCAUCAUCAGAACGGCCAUCCGGAGGUACAGCCAGAAACACUAGCUCAGAUCUCGUUCUGCACCACUCCCGAAGGCUUGCGGGUAUUGUGACUUGCCAAGGGAAGGCCAAACUGCGAUUGUGAGCUGGGACCACUUAGUCCAGAGCCCGUGUCCCCUGUGAGCAAGGACACCCCUCCCCCAGUCAUCCAGCCCCACUCUGUUGGCCCAGAAGAAAUCACAAGGGUUGAGGUGACAGACCCCAGAAGAUGCCAGGUGUGAGGGACAGCACUGGGUGCACAGGGAAGCGAGGCUACAACCCCUGCAGACCCAGUGGCCCCAGCAUCUGCCCCACGGUGGGCCGCUGUGUCCAGCUCAGCACCUCCUCCAGUGUGUCCCACCCUGGCAGGUACUGUCCUUCCGCCCCCUACUGGCUCUGUGUGUCUCCUGUAGACAGUGGUAGAGUCAGGCUAAAUAAGGAGUCCUCCACCCCUGGUCCCGAGCCCUGGGAGAGGCUGCAGGCCAUUUAAGCAGCAACAUUGUUGGCAGCAACAGCAUCAGCAAGUGCUUUCCCAGAUGUGCCUCAUUCCUGACAUGCCGGUAAGACCCACGUCCUGUCCCAGAGGUGGCCGUUGCCAGGGUGUCUCAGCCCUGUCUCCACAGGGAUCCAGUGGGAGAACUUCAGGUUCUGUCCAGACUGAGAUACCAGCUGAGGGUCUGGAGUGUGGGCUGUGUGGACAUGCAGGGUGUGGCCCAGCUGUGCCUAGCUACUGUCGGAGUCAGGACAGAGAGGCCAAAAAGAAUGGACCCUCCCUUCAGGCCCAAAAGGGAUUUCUCACCCCAGGUUGGGCUAUGGAAAGUCUUAACUUCAUUUCCUCCAUAAGGUCCCAUGGGAGGAUGGGGUUGGUGGUAGGAGGAGUCUCAGACAACAGAUGAUAUGACAACCCAUCACCAGCAGCUCACCAACAGCUUGGAUGCCUUUCCCAGAAUCCUCCAGCCUUUCUGUAUUGGGGCAGAGAGUGCUGAGAGCAAGUGGAAAGCUGGAAGCCCAGUCCUAGUGGACCUGAAAGAAGAGACAACCUCCUCCUGGAGAAUCCAAUUGACCCCACAUCCCGGGCCCCUGACUCUGUAAACUUCCUGGACAGGCUCCUGCUUCCAUCCAUCUCCGGACUCUGAUCCUGGACCUGGAAGACCUGGCUCUCAAUCACCCAGCCAAGCCUUGUCCUCUCAGAAGCCCAUGGCCAGAGCAGGGCCUUGGACUCAUCUGGGGUCAUCUUCCUUGUGAGGGGAAGUCAGGUUUCUCUAGCCCUGGGGAAGAAAAGGAGGCUCAGGUCCAGAGCACCUGGACCUGCAAGGAGCCAAAGGUUCCCCGGGACCACUUGAACUCAUCGAUCCUCCAUCUUCAGGUCCUUCACCCAUCACCCAACAAAGCUCUAUGCCCACUCCCCCUGUUUCACACUGGGGCCCCUGGUGAGCCAUACCUAAUGUAGCCGCCCUCCUUUGGAGCCACAGCAGCCCCUCUGAGCCCUUACCUGCCUGGGAGGGCACCCUCCAUGGAGGCCACACCUCACCAAGGCAGAGGCUGGGAGAGCUGGGUAUAGGGUUGAGUGAGCGUGAUGCUCCAGGAAGCAUGUGUGCCCCCCCCCAACUCUCAUCUUCUCAAGGGAUGGGUACCAUCUUUCCAAGCCUGUGAGUUUCUCCUGUCUGACAGAUACCUCCCGAUAUUUACGUGUCACUGUCACAAGAUCGGUCUUAAAUCAAAAAAGGAUUUAGCAGCCCACUAGUGAUUCAUCAGAUGGAACGAUUUAAUAAUUUUCUAGA